GAAGUAGGCGGCCACAUAAGUGGGGCGUGAAAUCCUUCGGCUCAACCGAAGACCUGCGCUCCAAACUGUGUGGCUUGAGUCCGGGAGGGGAGACGGGAAUUCCUGGUGUAGCGGUGAAAUGCGCAGAUAUCAGGAAGAACACCGGCGGCGAAGGCGCGUCUCUGGACCGGUACUGACGCUAAGUUCCGAAAGCGUGGGGAGCAAACA
This 207-nucleotide ribosomal RNA is filed under the name uncultured bacterium. RNAcentral's name for it is "partial 16S ribosomal RNA". It matches the Rfam family "Bacterial small subunit ribosomal RNA", at positions 568 to 774 of the family's 1533-position model. The record is from RNAcentral.